CUACGGGAGGCAGCAGUGAGGAAUUUUGCGCAAUGGGGGAAACCCUGACGCAGCAACGCCGCGUGAGCGAAGAAGGCCCUCGGGUCGUAAAGCUCUGUCAAGUGGGAAAAAGGCCUUUUGAUUAAUACCCAAAAGGUUUGAUGGUACCACUGGAGGAAGCACCGGCUAAUCCGUGCCAGCAGCCGCGGUAAUACGGAGGGUGCAAGCGUUGUUCGGAAUUACUGGGCGUAAAGGGCGUGCAGGCGGUUUGGCAAGUCAGAUGUGAAAGCCCUGGGCUUAACCCGGGAAGUGCAUUUGAAACUGCCUUUCUUGAGUAUGGGAGAGGAGAGUGGAAUUCCCAGUGUAGAGGUGAAAUUCGUAGAUAUUGGGAGGAACACCCGUGGCGAAGGCGACUCUCUGGACCAAUACUGACGCUGAGACGCGAAAGCGUGGGGAGCAAACAGGAUUAGAUACCCCGGUAGUC
Molecule: ribosomal RNA, 463 nt
Filed under: uncultured bacterium
Lineage: Bacteria
Description: partial 16S ribosomal RNA
Rfam family: Bacterial small subunit ribosomal RNA
Source: RNAcentral